RNAcentral lists this ribosomal RNA (774 nucleotides) under Stereum sp. 2 RG-2014. RNAcentral's name for it is "eukaryotic LSU rRNA". The stretch from base 553 to 774 matches the Rfam family "Eukaryotic large subunit ribosomal RNA", at positions 1 to 219 of the family's 3401-position model. Lineage: Eukaryota; Fungi; Basidiomycota; Agaricomycetes; Russulales; Stereaceae. The record is from RNAcentral.
AUUAUGACUGGGGUUGUAGCUGGCCUAUAAAACGGCAUGUGCACGCUCCUUUCACAAUCCACACACACCUGUGCACCUUCGCGGGGGUCUUUUUUUUCUCUUCGGGGGAAUAAAGACUCGCGUCCCUUUACACACCCUUUGUAUGUCUUAAGAAUGUCUACUCGAUGUAAUAAAACGCAUCUAAUACAACUUUCAACAACGGAUCUCUUGGCUCUCGCAUCGAUGAAGAACGCAGCGAAAUGCGAUAAGUAAUGUGAAUUGCAGAAUUCAGUGAAUCAUCGAAUCUUUGAACGCACCUUGCGCCCUUUGGUAUUCCGAAGGGCACACCUGUUUGAGUGUCGUGAAAUUCUCAACCCUCCUCGCUUUUUCGGCGAGCGUAGGGAUUGGACUUGGAGGCUUUGCCGGGCUCUCAUCGCUCGGCUCCUCUCAAAUGCAUUAGUGCGUCUUGUUGCGACGUGCGCCUCGGUGUGAUAAUUAUCUACGCUGUGGUGCGCUUGCUUCUUGUGGAGACACGCUUUCGAACCGUCCGAAAGGACAGCUUUCAUCGAACUUUGACCUCAAAUCAGGUGGGACUACCCGCUGAACUUAAGCAUAUCAAUAAGCGGAGGAAAAGAAACUAACAAGGAUUCCCCUAGUAACUGCGAGUGAAGCGGGAAAAGCUCAAAUUUAAAAUCUGGCGGUCUUCUGGCCGUCCGAGUUGUAGUCUGGAGAAGCGUUUUCCGCGUUGGACCGUGUACAAGUUUCCUGGAACGGAGCGUCAUAGAGGGUGAGAAU